Molecule: ribosomal RNA, 254 nt
Filed under: uncultured prokaryote
Description: partial 16S ribosomal RNA
Rfam family: Bacterial small subunit ribosomal RNA
Source: RNAcentral
UACGGAGGAUGCAAGCGUUAUCCGGAUUCAUUGGGUUUAAAGGGUGCGCAGGCGGGAAUGUAAGUCAGUGGUGAAAAACUGCCGCUUAACGGUAGUCUUGCCAAUGAUACUGCGUUUCUUGAGUAUGGUUAAGGUAGGCGGAAUGUGCAGUGUAGCGGUGAAAUGCAUAGAGAUUGCACAGAAGGCCGAUUGCGAAGGCAGCUUACUGAACCAUAACUGACGCUCAUGCACGAAAGCGUGGGUAUCAAACAGGA